UUGACAGCCCAAAUAUGAAUAUAAAAUGAGGAAAUCCCAGCGCUGCAUUAGAUCAGAACCCAGCUGUGUGAGAGAGUGAUGUAAUGCCCCCCCCCCCCUUCCUUUCAGGGUGGAGCCUGCUGGAGUCAGAUGGUUGACACCAGGUCUGAGGAAGUAUUCCUGUGAACUCACAGUCGACACCAACACGGUGAACAG
Etheostoma spectabile (orangethroat darter) is the source of this 195-nucleotide long non-coding RNA. RefSeq lists it as uncharacterized. The record is from RefSeq and is a predicted model, not a curated record. The transcript is spliced from 2 exons. NCBI's taxonomy places the organism in Eukaryota, Metazoa, Chordata, Actinopteri, Perciformes, Percidae.